RNAcentral lists this ribosomal RNA (253 nucleotides) under uncultured bacterium. RNAcentral describes it as "partial 16S ribosomal RNA". It matches the Rfam family "Bacterial small subunit ribosomal RNA", at positions 524 to 776 of the family's 1533-position model. The record is from RNAcentral.
UACGUAGGGUGCAAGCGUUGUCCGGAUUUAUUGGGUUUAAAGGGUGCGUAGGCGGCCCGUUAAGUCAGCGGUGAAAUCCCGGGGCUCAACCCCGGAACUGCCGUUGAUACUGGCGGGCUUGAGUUCGGUCGAGGCGGGCGGAACUGGCGGUGUAGCGGUGAAAUGCUUAGAUACCGCCAAGAACCCCGAUUGCGUAGGCAGCUCGCUUGGCCGAAACUGACGCUGAGGCACGAAAGCGUGGGGAGCGAACAGG